This 498-nucleotide ribosomal RNA is filed under the name fungal endophyte sp. DM197. Its description in RNAcentral is "eukaryotic LSU rRNA". It matches the Rfam family "Eukaryotic large subunit ribosomal RNA", at positions 141 to 660 of the family's 3401-position model. The record is from RNAcentral. Lineage: Eukaryota; Fungi.
AGUUGUAAUUUGUAGAGGAUGCUUUUGGCGCGGUGCCUUCCGAGUUCCCUGGAACGGGACGCCUUAGAGGGUGAGAGCCCCGUACGGUUGGACACCAAGCCUCUGUAAAGCUCCUUCGACGAGUCGAGUAGCUUGGGAAUGCUGCUCUAAAUGGGAGGUAAAUUUCUUCUAAAGCUAAAUAUUGGCCAGAGACCGAUAGCGCACAAGUAGAGUGAUCGAAAGAUGAAAAGCACUUUGAAAAGAGGGUUAAACAGCACGUGAAAUUGUUGAAAGGGAAGCGUUUGCGACCAGACCUUUUCCUAGCGGAUCAUCCGGUGUUCUCACCGGUGCACUUCGCUAGGUUUAGGCCAGCAUCGGUUUCUGUAGGGGGAUAAAAGCUCUGGGAACGUAGCUCCUCCGGGAGUGUUAUAGCCCUCUGCAUAAUACCCUUACGGGGACCGAGGACCGCGCUUCGGCAAGGAUGCUGGCGUAAUGGUCGUCAACGACCCGUCUUGAAAA